GAUGAACGCUAGCUACAGGCUUAACACAUGCAAGUCGAGGGGAAACGACAUCGAAAGCUUGCUUUUGAUGGGCGUCGACCGGCGCACGGGUGAGUAACGCGUAUCCAACCUGCCCAUCACUUGGGAAUAACCUUGCGAAAGUAAGACUAAUACCCAAUGACAUCCCACGAAGACAUCUGAAUGGGAUUAAAGAUUUAUCGGUGAUGGAUGGGGAUGCGUCUGAUUAGCUUGUUGGCGGGGUAACGGCCCACCAAGGCAACGAUCAGUAGGGGUUCUGAGAGGAAGGUCCCCCACAUUGGAACUGAGACACGGUCCAAACUCCUACGGGAGGCAGCAGUGAGGAAUAUUGGUCAAUGGGCGAGAGCCUGAACCAGCCAAGUCGCGUGCAGGAUGACGGCCCUAUGGGUUGUAAACUGCUUUUAUAAGGGAAUAAAGUGGGUCUCGUGAGACUUUUUGCAUGUACCUUAUGAAUAAGGACCGGCUAAUUCCGUG
This 492-nucleotide ribosomal RNA is filed under the name uncultured bacterium. RNAcentral's name for it is "partial 16S ribosomal RNA". It matches the Rfam family "Bacterial small subunit ribosomal RNA", at positions 28 to 507 of the family's 1533-position model. The record is from RNAcentral.